Long non-coding RNA from Centruroides sculpturatus (bark scorpion), 271 nucleotides. RefSeq lists it as uncharacterized. The transcript has 3 exons. The record is from RefSeq and is a predicted model, not a curated record. NCBI's taxonomy places the organism in Eukaryota, Metazoa, Arthropoda, Arachnida, Scorpiones, Buthidae.
GAAAAUACAUUGUUAGCUUAACAUUAAAAUAAGUUUAUUAAAAUUAAAUUUAUAAAGAUAAUGUUAAAAUUUCGAGAAAAUUGUGGGCCUCCCAUCCGGAAAAGUAACACACUAUGGAAGAGAAUUGAAUGCCUGAAGACUCUGGGAGAACUCAAAUCUUAUACUGAGAGCUAGAUCUUUUCUAUCUAAAGAGACAUACUUCGAAGUGUAAUGUUAUAUUUUCAGUUCGGCAAGUCUCACAAAGAAUAGUUACUCAGGGAGUCAGUCGCCC